CACCCUACAUCACUGCUUUGAAGAUUGCCAGGAAAUUUGCAUUGAUGUUUGUAUUGUAACUCAUCCUAGCGUUAGGAAAACUAGAAAUCUUCUCUCAGUUCACUGAAAACAUGAAUUUUGAGCAUUAGGAAUACUAUUUUGAUUGAAUUCCAAGGGUGGGUGAAAAAAAAGUUAUCUAUCAUCUUGUUGCUCCAAGAACCACAUGAGUUGCACAUACAACAUAUCACUGACUUGUUCAGGUUCAGACAACCAGCAGUUCUCUUACCAUUUAAACAGCAGUGUGCAACUUGGGUGGAGAGCAAGUUGGACAGAUGGUGACUUGCAAUUGCUGCUAAAUCGAUUCUCUAAGAUAGCCUGAGAUGCAUGAGUUGCUGAUUCUUCUCAAGCCCAC
Molecule: long non-coding RNA, 391 nt
Filed under: Oryza brachyantha (malo sina)
Lineage: Eukaryota; Viridiplantae; Streptophyta; Magnoliopsida; Poales; Poaceae
Description: long non-coding RNA (OBRA_LNC002806)
Source: RNAcentral